This 259-nucleotide unclassified non-coding RNA is filed under the name Hevea brasiliensis (rubber tree). Lineage: Eukaryota; Viridiplantae; Streptophyta; Magnoliopsida; Malpighiales; Euphorbiaceae. The record is from RNAcentral.
CGAAGGGGAAGGGGAAGGCCAUCAAGGGAUCCAGGGCGUCCGUGAUUCAAGAGGGCAUGAGUAUGCAAACCGUGAGCGAGUGGACCACCUGGGCGAUGAAGAAGGCGAAGGUGAUCACCCACUACGGCUUUAUCCCCCUCGUUAUCCUCAUCGGUAUGAAUUCGGAGCCCAAGCCUCACAUUUCUCAGCUUCUCAGCCCCGUCUAGGGUUUGAUGAUCUUGAAUUGAGAUCUUUGUUAGGGUUUGUCGAACUUGGCUUG